This 253-nucleotide ribosomal RNA is filed under the name uncultured bacterium. Its description in RNAcentral is "partial 16S ribosomal RNA". It matches the Rfam family "Bacterial small subunit ribosomal RNA", at positions 524 to 776 of the family's 1533-position model. The record is from RNAcentral.
UACGUGGGGUGCGAGCGUUGUCCGGAAUUAUUGGGCGUAAAGGGCUCGUAGGCGGUUUGUCGCGUCGGGAGUGAAAACUCAGGGCUUAACCCUGAGCCUGCUUCCGAUACGGGCAGACUAGAGGUAUGCAGGGGAGAACGGAAUUCCUGGUGUAGCGGUGAAAUGCGCAGAUAUCAGGAGGAACACCGGUGGCGAAGGCGGUUCUCUGGGCAUUAACUGACGCUGAGGAGCGAAAGUGUGGGGAGCGAACAGG